UACGUAGGGUGCAAGCGUUAAUCGGAAUUACUGGGCGUAAAGCGUGCGCAGGCGGUGAUGUAAGACAGUUGUGAAAUCCCCGGGCUCAACCUGGGAACUGCAUCUGUGACUGCAUCGCUGGAGUACGGUAGAGGGGGAUGGAAUUCCGCGUGUAGCAGUGAAAUGCGUAGAUAUGCGGAGGAACACCGAUGGCGAAGGCAGCUUCCUGGUCUGCAACUGACGCUGUGGCGCGAAAGCUAGGGGAGCAAACGGG
RNAcentral lists this ribosomal RNA (253 nucleotides) under uncultured bacterium. RNAcentral's name for it is "partial 16S ribosomal RNA". It matches the Rfam family "Bacterial small subunit ribosomal RNA", at positions 524 to 776 of the family's 1533-position model. The record is from RNAcentral.